This 358-nucleotide ribosomal RNA is filed under the name uncultured bacterium. Its description in RNAcentral is "bacterial SSU rRNA". It matches the Rfam family "Bacterial small subunit ribosomal RNA", at positions 917 to 1269 of the family's 1533-position model. The record is from RNAcentral.
GGGCUCACACAAGCGGUGGAGGAUGUGGCUUAAUUCGAGGCUACGCGAAGAACCUUAUCCUAGUCUUGACAUGUAUGGAUUAACCCUGUGAAAGCAGGGCCACGCCUUCGGGUGGAACAUACACAGGUGCUGCAUGGCUGUCGUCAGCUCGUGUCGUGAGAUGUCGCGUUAAGUCGCUUAACGAGCGCAACCCCUAUCGUUAGUUGCCAGCGAGUAAUGUCGGGAACUCUAACGAAACUGCCAGUGCAAACUGUGAGGAAGGUGGGGAUGACGUCAAAUCAUCACGGCCCUUACGUCCUGGGCUACACACGUGCUACAAUGGCCGGUACAGAGAGCAGCCACUUCGCAAGAAGGAGCG